This 396-nucleotide ribosomal RNA is filed under the name Salmonella enterica subsp. enterica serovar Kentucky. RNAcentral describes it as "bacterial LSU rRNA". It matches the Rfam family "Bacterial large subunit ribosomal RNA", at positions 817 to 1211 of the family's 2925-position model. The record is from RNAcentral. Lineage: Bacteria; Pseudomonadati; Pseudomonadota; Gammaproteobacteria; Enterobacterales; Enterobacteriaceae.
GGGGGUGAAAGGCCAAUCAAACCGGGAGAUAGCUGGUUCUCCCCGAAAGCUAUUUAGGUAGCGCCUCGUGAAUUCAUCUCCGGGGGUAGAGCACUGUUUCGGCUAGGGGGCCAUCCCGGCUUACCAACCCGAUGCAAACUGCGAAUACCGGAGAAUGUUAUCACGGGAGACACACGGCGGGUGCUAACGUCCGUCGUGAAGAGGGAAACAACCCAGACCGCCAGCUAAGGUCCCAAAGUCAUGGUUAAGUGGGAAACGAUGUGGGAAGGCCCAGACAGCCAGGAUGUUGGCUUAGAAGCAGCCAUCAUUUAAAGAAAGCGUAAUAGCUCACUGGUCGAGUCGGCCUGCGCGGAAGAUGUAACGGGGCUAAACCAUGCACCGAAGCUGCGGCAGCGA